RNAcentral lists this ribosomal RNA (475 nucleotides) under uncultured organism. Its description in RNAcentral is "partial 16S ribosomal RNA". It matches the Rfam family "Bacterial small subunit ribosomal RNA", at positions 335 to 801 of the family's 1533-position model. The record is from RNAcentral.
ACUCCUGCGGGAGGCAGCAGUGGGGAAUUUUGGACAAUGGGCGAAAGCCUGAUCCAGCAAUGCCGCGUGCAGGAUGAAGGCCUUCGGGUUGUAAACUGCUUUUGUACGGAACGAAAAAGCUCCUUCUAAUACAGGGGGCCCAUGACGGUACCGUAAGAAUAAGCACCGGCUAACUACGUGCCAGCAGCCGCGGUAAUACGUAGGGUGCGAGCGUUAAUCGGAAUUACUGGGCGUAAAGCGUGCGCAGGCGGUUAUGUAAGACAGAUGUGAAAUCCCCGGGCUCAACCUGGGAACUGCAUUUGUGACUGCAUGGCUAGAGUACGGUAGAGGGGGAUGGAAUUCCGCGUGUAGCAGUGAAAUGCGUAGAUAUGCGGAGGAACACCGAUGGCGAAGGCAAUCCCCUGGACCUGUACUGACGCUCAUGCACGAAAGCGUGGGGAGCAAACAGGAUUAGAUACCCUAGUAGUCCCAUGAU